Molecule: long non-coding RNA, 952 nt
Organism: Musa acuminata AAA Group (dessert banana)
Lineage: Eukaryota; Viridiplantae; Streptophyta; Magnoliopsida; Zingiberales; Musaceae
Exons: 5
Source: RefSeq, a predicted model, not a curated record
UCGCUCGUCGCCAUCAUGGUGAGUAGUCUCUCCCUCCCGACGGGCUUUUCUUUCCUUCUGUGGUUAGAACCUAGCCUCUCAAUUUGCAGCUAAUUAAGGAGCGCGACUUCAACACUCGUCGUCAUCAAUCCAGGGAUUGUUGUACGCUUUGAUUCGGUGGACUCAUGAUUGAAGCGUUGCAAACCGAAGGGAACCGUGUAGGAUUCGAUGCCCUACACAUGCGUCACAAGGAGCAGAGUUGUUUGCCACCUCUAGCCCUAACUGAGUUAGGGUACCACUUACAUGAACCACAUGAUCAACCCACGCAUGUUUGUAAUUGAUCAUGUGGUUCAUGUGAGUAGUACCCUAACAUGGAAUUUUGGAAUUGGGAUGAUGAUGAAAAGAGGAUUUGAGUUCAUACAUAAAUGUGCUUAGAGCAUUAAACGAAGCUCGAGGCAAACCCACUUCUUUGUGCCGAUGGGAUGAACAUCUGUGCCAAGGGGGUGGCGUGGCAUUUGGUCUUGGCUUCAUCUCGGUCUAAGCUUUGGAAGGUUGCUUAGCGGUUGUUCGAGUUACUUCAUUGGUCAGCCAGUUUCUUAUGAUUUACAUCCAAAUCACUUUCUUGCCCAAAUUUUCUCCAGUGAGGAAUUAUGCAUCAGAUUUUGAAAGGCUGGCAUCAAAUCAAAUUUGAGGAAACAGUAUUCCUUCCAGCAGUUGCAUGUGAGAGCCAUUACAAAAUAGUGAGGACUGUCAUAACCCAUGUCGGAGAAGAUAGUGAUGCCAAUGGAUUCUGCCAGACUUGUGUGACAACUGGUCUUAUCAUUCAACUCUUUAGAACCAAGUGUUGCUUUUUGGUUCAUUUGAACCUUCCUCACUUAGGAGGAUAUCUGAUGCAAAAUUUCUAAUACCAAACAUACAGUAGUCUAACUUUGUGUGGAACGCUAAUCAAAUCAUUAUUAUUCGUUGGUUUGUA